CGCCUCUUGAAUAAAUAUAAGAGGUCCAGCCUGCCCAGUGACUCUGUUCAACGGCCGCGGUAUCCUAACCGUGCGAAGGUAGCGUAAUCACUUGUUCUUUAAAUGAGGACUAGUAUGAAUGGCACCACGAAGGUUAUACUGUCUCCUCUUUCUAAUCAGUGAAACUAAUCUCCCCGUGAAGAAGCGAGGAUAAACAUAUAAGACGAGAAGACCCUAUGGAGCUUUAAACCAUGUAACACUUGCACCACUACAAUACAAAUUUCAGAAAAAUCCAUCCAAUUUAUGCAAGAUCAUUACCAGUUUUAGGUUGGGGUGACCGCGGAGCAAAAAACAACCUCCACAUUGAAAGGAACUAACUCCUUAGCCAAGAGCCACAUCUCCACGCACCAUUAUAAUGACAUCAAUUGACCCAAUAUUUUGAUCAACGAACCAAGUUACCCUAGGGAUAACAGCGCAAUCCAUUUCAAGAGCUCCUAUCGACAAAUGGGUUUACGACCUCGAUGUUGGAUCAGGGUAUCCCGGUGGUGCAGCCGCUACCAAAGGUUCGUUUGUUCAACGAUUAAAACCCUA
This 570-nucleotide ribosomal RNA is filed under the name Espadarana andina (Andes giant glass frog). RNAcentral describes it as "partial 16S ribosomal RNA". It matches the Rfam family "Bacterial large subunit ribosomal RNA", at positions 1832 to 2598 of the family's 2925-position model. The record is from RNAcentral. Lineage: Eukaryota; Metazoa; Chordata; Amphibia; Anura; Centrolenidae.